RNAcentral lists this non-coding RNA (62 nucleotides) under Ruminococcaceae bacterium YRB3002. Lineage: Bacteria; Bacillati; Bacillota; Clostridia; Eubacteriales; Oscillospiraceae. The record is from RNAcentral.
CGUAGUAACAACGAACUGUGAGAAGUCAGCAGAAGCCAUAGUACUGAGUAAUCGGGAAGGGC